UACGUAGGGGCGAGCGUUAUCCGGAAUUAUUGGGCGUAAAGGGUUCGCAGGCGGCCUUGUAAGUCAGAUGUGAAAGACAGCGGCUUAACCGUUGUAAGCAUUUGAAACUGCAGGGCUUGAGUACAGGAGAGGAAAGCGGAAUUCCUAGUGUAGCGGUGAAAUGCGUAGAUAUUAGGAGGAACACCAGUGGCGAAGGCGACUAUCUGGACAGUAACUGACGCUGAGGCGCGAAAAGCGUGGGGAGCAAAACAGGAUUAGAUACCCCCGGUAGUCCCUGA
This 278-nucleotide ribosomal RNA is filed under the name uncultured prokaryote. RNAcentral's name for it is "partial 16S ribosomal RNA". It matches the Rfam family "Bacterial small subunit ribosomal RNA", at positions 524 to 800 of the family's 1533-position model. The record is from RNAcentral.